AUUGAACGCUGGCGGCAGGCCUAACACAUGCAAGUCGAACGGUAACAGAACUAGCUUGCUAGUUGCUGACGAGUGGCGGACGGGUGAGUAAUACUUAGGGAUCUGCCUCUGUGUGGGGGAUAACUAUUGGAAACGAUAGCUAAUACCGCAUGAUGUCUACGGACCAAAGGGGGCUUUUAGCUCCCGCGCAGAGAGGAACCUAAGCGAGAUUAGCUAGUUGGUGUGGUAAAGGCGCACCAAGGCGACGAUCUCUAGCUGUUCUGAGAGGAAGAUCAGGCCACCACUGGAACUGAGACACGGUCCAG
This 305-nucleotide ribosomal RNA is filed under the name uncultured Glaciecola sp. Its description in RNAcentral is "bacterial SSU rRNA". It matches the Rfam family "Bacterial small subunit ribosomal RNA", at positions 30 to 334 of the family's 1533-position model. The record is from RNAcentral. Lineage: Bacteria; Pseudomonadati; Pseudomonadota; Gammaproteobacteria; Alteromonadales; Alteromonadaceae.